Long non-coding RNA from Neofelis nebulosa (Clouded leopard), 443 nucleotides. RefSeq lists it as uncharacterized. The record is from RefSeq and is a predicted model, not a curated record. NCBI's taxonomy places the organism in Eukaryota, Metazoa, Chordata, Mammalia, Carnivora, Felidae. The transcript has 2 exons.
CUAGGGACGCGCGCCCCGAGCGCCUUGGCAACGCCAGCCUCUGCGAGCUGCAGGAACAACAGCUCCCACCCAGGGCCCACCCAGCCGCCCUCCCGGCAGCUCCUGGGUCCUGGCACCCGCCCUGGCGCAGCUCCUGCUCCUGCUGCUGCUGCUACUACUACUGCUAGCCGAGGGCGAGGCCACCCGAGGCCCCUGAGACUCUGGGUGGGCUCUGGGGCUGGAGAGGCUAAGACUACAGAGGCCGCGUCCUCCGUCCCUCGAUGGACUAAGACGCACCCGCAGGGUGGGCUGGAGGUAACCGGAGGCCUCUUACUUAGGAAGGCAAAGGAUAUUAUCAACUAGGCGAUUAUUUGGAAAGAAAAAGGAAACAAGUUUUUCUUUUGUCGUACACUAUCCGGUACUUUGAAGAAGUUGAAAGAACAAUAAACUUGGAUCAUAAUGGA